Molecule: transfer RNA, 62 nt
Filed under: Eupelmus sp. ZJUH_2016012
Lineage: Eukaryota; Metazoa; Arthropoda; Insecta; Hymenoptera; Eupelmidae
Description: tRNA-Trp
Source: RNAcentral
AAAAUUUUAAGUUAAAAAAACUAUAAACCUUCAAAGUUUAAAUUAUUGAAUUAUAAAUUUUG